AUCGCUUCUCGGCCUUUUGGCUAAGAUCAAGUGUAGUAUCUGUUCUUAUCAGUUUAAUAUCUGAUACGUCCCCCAUCGGGGGACUAUACAUAUUAAAUGGAUUUUCGAACAGGGAGUCGGAAGCGGGGCUUGCUCCGUCCGCUCCACGCAUCGACUCGGUAUUGCAGUACCUCCGAGAACGGUGCACCCUCU
This is a small nuclear RNA of Esox lucius (northern pike), 192 nucleotides long. Its record names the gene U2. It matches the Rfam family "U2 spliceosomal RNA". Rfam says of the family: U2 is a small nuclear RNA (snRNA) component of the spliceosome (involved in pre-mRNA splicing). NCBI's taxonomy places the organism in Eukaryota, Metazoa, Chordata, Actinopteri, Esociformes, Esocidae. The record is from Ensembl.